CAAUAGCGUAUACUAAAGUUGUUGCGAUUAAAAAGCUCGUAGUUGAAUCUCAGGCAUGGGCGCACGGUCCGCCUCGCGGCGGUCACUGUGUGUUUUGUUUCCCAUCCUACGCUUCCCGGUUAUCAGCCCAUGGUGCUCUUCACUGAGCGUUUUGGGUGGCCGGAACGUUUACUUUGAAGAAAUUAGAGUGUUCAAAGCAGGCACGUCGCCUGAAUAAUGGUGCAUGGAAUAAUGGAAUAGGACCUCGGUUCUAUUUUGCUGGUUUUCGGAACACGAGGUAAUGAUUAAGAGGGACAGACGGGGGCAUCCGUAUUGCGGUGUUAGAGGUGAAAUUCUUGGAUCAUCGCAAGACGAACAACUGCGAAAGCAUUUGCCAAGCAUGUUUUCAUUAG
RNAcentral lists this ribosomal RNA (392 nucleotides) under uncultured eukaryote. RNAcentral describes it as "partial 18S ribosomal RNA". It matches the Rfam family "Eukaryotic small subunit ribosomal RNA", at positions 592 to 976 of the family's 1831-position model. The record is from RNAcentral.